GAUGAAGAACGCAGCGAAAUGCGAUAAGUAAUGUGAAUUGCAGAAUUCAGUGAAUCAUCGAAUCUUUGAACGCACAUUGCGCCCGCCAGUAUUCUGGUGGGCAUGCCUGUCCGAGCGUCAUUUCAACCCUCGAACCCCUCCGGGGGGUCGGCGUUGGGGAUCGGCCCUUUACGGGGCCGGCCCCGAAAUACAGUGGCGGUCUCGCUGCAGCCUCUCCUGCGCAGUAGUUUGCACACUCGCAUCGGGAGCGCGGCGCGUCCACAGCCGUUAAACACCCCAAACUUCUGAAAUGUUGACCUCGGAUCAGGUAGGAAUACCCGCUGAACUUUAGCAUAUCAAUAAGCGGAGGA
Molecule: unclassified non-coding RNA, 350 nt
Filed under: soil metagenome
Description: partial contains 5.8S ribosomal RNA, internal transcribed spacer 2, and large subunit ribosomal RNA
Rfam family: 5.8S ribosomal RNA (bases 1-120)
Source: RNAcentral